GCAGGGAUGGAUCAUUCGCCCGUAUUCGGAGGCAAGGCGAUGUAGUUCGAGGACUGUCGUCUUGACCCCGGCCGUCUGAUCGAUCGCUUCUUGUGCGAUCCGCAUCAGCCGAUAGGAUUUCGACAUUUCGCCGGGACAAGUGUGCUCGCUACGGGACGACCCGCUGAUCAAUAGGAUGCGCGCUGGACCCCUGGCAUCCAGGUGACGCAA
Molecule: small RNA, 210 nt
Filed under: Sinorhizobium meliloti 2011
Lineage: Bacteria; Pseudomonadati; Pseudomonadota; Alphaproteobacteria; Hyphomicrobiales; Rhizobiaceae
Description: putative ncRNA
Source: RNAcentral